RNAcentral lists this ribosomal RNA (253 nucleotides) under uncultured bacterium. Its description in RNAcentral is "partial 16S ribosomal RNA". It matches the Rfam family "Bacterial small subunit ribosomal RNA", at positions 524 to 776 of the family's 1533-position model. The record is from RNAcentral.
UACGGAGGGGGCUAGCGUUGUUCGGAAUUACUGGGCGUAAAGCGCACGUAGGCGGCUUCGCAAGUUAGAGGUGAAAGCCCAGGGCUUAACCCUGGAAUUGCCUUUAAAACUGCAUCGCUAGAAUUGUGGAGAGGUAAGUGGAAUUCCGAGUGUAGAGGUGAAAUUCGUAGAUAUUCGGAAGAACACCAGUGGCGAAGGCGACUUACUGGACACAUAUUGACGCUGAGGUGCGAAAGCGUGGGGAGCAAACAGG